GACGAACGCUGGCGGUGUGCUUAACACAUGCAAGUCGAACGGAAAGGCCCUGCUUUUGUGGGGUGCUCGAGUGGCGAACGGGUGAGUAACACGUGAGUAACCUGCCCUUGACUUUGGGAUAACUUCAGGAAACUGGGGCUAAUACCGGAUAGGAGCUCCUGCUGCAUGGUGGGGGUUGGAAAGUUUCGGCGGUUGGGGAUGGACUCGCGGCUUAUCAGCUUGUUGGUGGGGUAGUGGCUUACCAAGGCUUUGACGGGUAGCCGGCCUGAGUGGGUGACCGGCCACAUUGGGACUGGGAUACGGCCCAGACUCCUACGGGAGGCAGCAGUGGGGAAUAUUGCACAAUGGGCGGAAGCCUGAUGCAGCAACGCCGCGUGCGGGAUGACGGCCUUCGGGUUGUAAACCGCUUUCGCCUGUGACGAAGCGUGAGUGACGGUAAUGGGUAAAGAAGCACCGGCUAACUACGUG
RNAcentral lists this ribosomal RNA (468 nucleotides) under uncultured bacterium. RNAcentral describes it as "partial 16S ribosomal RNA". It matches the Rfam family "Bacterial small subunit ribosomal RNA", at positions 28 to 507 of the family's 1533-position model. The record is from RNAcentral.